UUCAAGGGCUUGUAAUCAUCAAUCGGAGUCUUAGUUUGUGUGGGAAUUACUAUUCAUCGGUUGAAGGUAAGGUUUAGUCGCUUAUGGGUUAAAACCUCGAUAUGAGUUCUAUUUGGGAUCACAUUAUGUGAGAUUAAAUUAGUGUUAUUUGUUCAAUUAUAGGCUUUGGAAUGCUCGGGGACUAUUUUACCAUCAAACAAAACCAG
This 206-nucleotide long non-coding RNA is filed under the name Gossypium barbadense (sea-island cotton). Its description in RNAcentral is "long non-coding RNA (GBAR_LNC017117)". Lineage: Eukaryota; Viridiplantae; Streptophyta; Magnoliopsida; Malvales; Malvaceae. The record is from RNAcentral.